GAUGAACGCUGGCGGCGUGCCUAAUACAUGCAAGUCGAGCGAACAGACGAGGAGCUUGCUCCUCUGACGUUAGCGGCGGACGGGUGAGUAACACGUGGAUAACCUACCUAUAAGACUGGGAUAACUUCGGGAAACCGGCGCUAAUACCGGAUAACAUGUUGAACCGCAUGGUUCAACAGUGAAAGACGGUCUUUCUGUCACUUAUCGAUGGAUCCGCGCCGCAUUAGCUAGUUGGUAAGGUAACGGCUUACCAAGGCAACGAUGCGUAGCCGACCGGAGAGGGUGAUCGGCCACACUGGAACUGAGACACGGUCCAGACUCCUACGGGAGGCAGCAGUAGGGAAUCUUCCGCAAUGGGCGAAAGCCUGACGGAGCAACGCCGCGUGAGUGAAGAAGGUCUUCGGAUCGUAAAACUCUGUUAUUAGGGAAGAACAAAUGUGUAAGUAACUAUGCACGUCUUGACGGUACCUAAUCAGAAAGCCACGGCUAACUACGUG
RNAcentral lists this ribosomal RNA (497 nucleotides) under uncultured bacterium. RNAcentral describes it as "partial 16S ribosomal RNA". It matches the Rfam family "Bacterial small subunit ribosomal RNA", at positions 28 to 507 of the family's 1533-position model. The record is from RNAcentral.